UAAAUCUUCGGCGAUGGAGUUCGCCCAAACCGUCCGGUCACGGACUGAUGACUCCUGGCGGCCC
RNAcentral lists this non-coding RNA (64 nucleotides) under Acidobacteriota bacterium. Its description in RNAcentral is "Acidobacteria bacterium Fluoride sequence". It matches the Rfam family "Fluoride riboswitch aptamer (crcB RNA motif)". The record is from RNAcentral. Lineage: Bacteria; Pseudomonadati; Acidobacteriota.